RNAcentral lists this ribosomal RNA (402 nucleotides) under Bacteroidota bacterium. Its description in RNAcentral is "Bacteroidetes bacterium partial 16S ribosomal RNA". It matches the Rfam family "Bacterial small subunit ribosomal RNA", at positions 355 to 776 of the family's 1533-position model. The record is from RNAcentral. Lineage: Bacteria; Pseudomonadati; Bacteroidota.
UGGGGAAUUUUGCACAAUGGGGGAAACCCUGAUGCAGCGACGCCGCGUGAUUUAGAAGGCCUUCGGGUUGUAAAAAUCUUUUCUAUGGGAAGAAAAUGACAGUACCAUAGGAAUAAGGACCGGCUAAUUACGUGCCAGCAGCCGCGGUAAUACGUAAGGUCCGAGCGUUGUCCGGAAUCAUUGGGCGUAAAGCGAGCGCAGGCGGUUAGAUAAGUCUGAAGUUAAAGGCAGUGGCUCAACCAUUGUAGGCUUUGGAAACUGUUUAACUUGAGUGCAGAAGGGGAGAGUGGAAUUCCAUGUGUAACGGUGAAAUGCGUAGAUAUAUGGAGGAACACCGGUGGCGAAAGCGGCUCUCUGGUCUGUAACUGACGCUGAGGCUCGAAAGCGUGGGGAGCGAACAGG